Molecule: ribosomal RNA, 468 nt
Filed under: uncultured bacterium
Lineage: Bacteria
Description: partial 16S ribosomal RNA
Rfam family: Bacterial small subunit ribosomal RNA
Source: RNAcentral
GACGAACGCUGGCGGCGUGCUUAACACAUGCAAGUCGAACGGAAAGGCGCUGCUUGUGGGGGGUGCGCGAGGGGCGAACGGGUGAGUAACACGUGAGUAACCUGCCGUGGAGGUUGGGAUAACUUCAGGAAACUGAGGAUAGUACCGGAUAGGAGGUCGUGCUGCAGGGAGGGGGAGGGAAAGUUUCGGUGGUAGGGGGUGGGCUCGCGGCUUAUCAGGUUGUUGGUGGGGUAGAGGCUGACAAAGGCUUUGACGGGUAGCCCGCAGUGGAGGUGGACCAGCCCCCUUGCUACUGCGAUACGGAGCAGACUGCUAUGGUAGGCAGCAGUGGCGAACCUUGCCCAAUGAUCCGACGUGUGAUGCGGCAACGUCGCGUGUGUGAUGUCCUCUUUUGCGUUGUAAACCGCUUUCGCUUGUGACCCAGCGUUAGUGACGGUACUGGGUGAAUAAGCACCGGCUAACUACGUG